CUUCUAUAAACCCAAGUUUUCUAACCAGCAGAAUGAAACUAAAAUCCCCACCUUAAGAGGUGGUGGUGAGAAUUAUAGGAGAUACAGGUAAAGGGCUUAGUGUAGUACCUGGCCUGGGGUUUUAAACACCCAGUAAAUAUAAGAUAUUACAAUUAUUGUUAUUGUUUAUUCUAGGGAGAAAUUUGAAAAACAGCAUUGAAAAAUUCAAGCAAGAACAUCAGCAGUCAGUAUAGCAUAAUUUGGAAUUAAGGAUUAAAAUUAGGUGUUAUUUUCAUCUCUUUUUGUUUCUCUGUUUUUAAUAAAAUUUUUAAAAAGGUGUUUUUUUUUUUUUUCAGUAUUCCAUUGGAUCCUUAGGAGGGGUGUGUGUGUGUGUGUGUGUGUGUGUGUGUGUGUGUGUAUGUAGGGUGGGUGUUGAGAAAUUUUCAUAUCCCUAGAAGAGUGGAUUCUGAUGGAGAGCUGCAUUAACUUUUACAGGGGAGCCUCCUCAUUUUAAAAAGUUCAAAUAAUGUUAACACUGGGGAAGAGAGAACAGAUAUUUGACCUAAGUAUUAAGUACGGUCAGUUAAUUG
Molecule: long non-coding RNA, 569 nt
Filed under: Callithrix jacchus (white-tufted-ear marmoset)
Lineage: Eukaryota; Metazoa; Chordata; Mammalia; Primates; Cebidae
Description: lncRNA (ENSCJAG00000069656.1)
Source: RNAcentral